GGCCCUAUCGUCUAGUCUGGUCCAGGACGCGUGGUUCUCAUCCACGUAACUCGGGUUCAAAUCCCGAUGGGGUCACCA
RNAcentral lists this transfer RNA (78 nucleotides) under Candidatus Colwelliibacteriota bacterium. Its description in RNAcentral is "tRNA-Glu". It matches the Rfam family "tRNA". Rfam says of the family: Transfer RNA (tRNA) molecules are approximately 80 nucleotides in length. Their secondary structure includes four short double-helical elements and three loops (D, anti-codon, and T loops). Lineage: Bacteria; Candidatus Colwelliibacteriota. The record is from RNAcentral.